AACGAACGCUGGCGGCAUGCCUAACACAUGCAAGUCGAACGAGACCUUCGGGUCUAGUGGCGCACGGGUGCGUAACGCGUGGGAAUCUGCCCUCUGGUUCGGAAUAACUCAGGGAAACUUGAGCUAAUACCGGAUAAUGACUUCGGUCCAAAGAUUUAUCGCCUGAGGAUGAGCCCGCGUCGGAUUAGCUAGUUGGUGAGGUAAAGGCGCACCAAGGCGACGAUCCGUAGCUGGUCUGAGAGGAUGAUCAGCCACACUGGGACUGAGACACGGCCCAGCGUCCUACGGGGGGUAGCAGUGGGGAAUAUUGGACAAUGGGCGGAAGCCUGAUCCAGCAAUGCCGCGUGAGUGAUGAAGGCCUUAGGGUUGAAAAGCUCUUUUACCCGGGAUGAUAAUGACAGUACCGGGAGAAUAAGCCCCGGCUAACUCCGUGCCAGCAGCCGCCGCAG
This 449-nucleotide ribosomal RNA is filed under the name uncultured bacterium. RNAcentral's name for it is "partial 16S ribosomal RNA". It matches the Rfam family "Bacterial small subunit ribosomal RNA", at positions 29 to 523 of the family's 1533-position model. The record is from RNAcentral.